AAACUUAAAGGGAUUGACGGAAGGGCACCACCAGGGGUGGAGCCUGCGGCUUAAUUUGACUCAACACGGGGAAACUCACCAGGUCCAGACACGAUGAGGAUUGACAGAUUGAGAGCUCUUUCUUGAUUUCGUGGGUGGUGGUGCAUGGCCGUUCUUAGUUGGUGGAGUGAUUUGUCUGCUUAAUUGCGAUAACGAACGAGACCUUAACCUGCUAAAUAGCCCGCAUUGCUUUGGCAGUGCGCCGGCUUCUUAGAGGGACUAUCGGCUCAAGCCGAUGGAAGUUUGAGGCAAUAACAGGUCUGUGAUGCUGAC
This 312-nucleotide ribosomal RNA is filed under the name Chaetomium globosum. RNAcentral's name for it is "SSU rRNA". It matches the Rfam family "Eukaryotic small subunit ribosomal RNA", at positions 1140 to 1472 of the family's 1831-position model. The record is from RNAcentral. Lineage: Eukaryota; Fungi; Ascomycota; Sordariomycetes; Sordariales; Chaetomiaceae.